RNAcentral lists this ribosomal RNA (438 nucleotides) under uncultured bacterium. RNAcentral's name for it is "partial 16S ribosomal RNA". It matches the Rfam family "Bacterial small subunit ribosomal RNA", at positions 339 to 795 of the family's 1533-position model. The record is from RNAcentral.
CUACGGGAGGCAGCAGUGGGGAAUAUUGCACAAUGGGGGGAACCCUGAUGCAGCAACGCCGCGUGGAGGAUGACGCAUUUCGGUGUGUAAACUCCUUUUAUAUGUCAAGAAAAUGACGGUAGCAUAUGAAUAAGCACCGGCUAACUCCGUGCCAGCAGCCGCGGUAAUAGGGAGGGGGCAAGCGUUGCUCGGAAUCACUGGGCGUAAAGGACGCGUAGGCGGGUUGGAAAGUCAGGUGUGAAAUCCUACAGCUUAACUGUAGAACUGCACUUGAAACUUCUAAUCUAGAGUAUGGGAGGGGGAGAUGGAAUUAGUGGUGUGGGGGUAAAAUCCGUAGAUAUCACUAGGAAUACCUAAAGCGAAGGCGAUCUCCUGGAACAUUACUGACGCUAAGGCGUGAAAGCGUGGGGAGCAAACAGGAUUAGAUACCCCGUAGUC